UGCUAUGUGUUACUGAACCAGGGGUAAC
This 28-nucleotide non-coding RNA is filed under the name Rattus norvegicus (Norway rat). Lineage: Eukaryota; Metazoa; Chordata; Mammalia; Rodentia; Muridae. The record is from RNAcentral.